Molecule: non-coding RNA, 296 nt
Organism: Oryzias latipes (Japanese medaka)
Lineage: Eukaryota; Metazoa; Chordata; Actinopteri; Beloniformes; Adrianichthyidae
Source: RefSeq, a predicted model, not a curated record
GCCUGUCAGUUACUCUCCCCCUCCCCCGCCUUCUCUGCCUUGGAUGCGACCAGCUGUACUCACUCACCUCAUUACUGCCUCAGCCUUCAUAAGGAUCCCUUGGAUCUUCAGUCGACGCCAGUUCGUUGUUCCUCCAAUGGAAAAUCCAGCUCUGGUUCCCACCUGAUCGCGAUCCUCUGGUCUCUCAUGCUUUGCUUCUGGACCCGCCCUGCAAGACUCCUCCAGCCAGCCGACUCUCCUCACCCUGGGAAAAACGCCACUACUCACAUUCUGCCAAAUUAAACCUCCUAAACCUU